GCCUUCGUCAGUGGUAGAUCGUACCGGCCGCGAGUCUUUAUUGGAUUCUCUUCCUUGCGACUGCGGGGACGCGGGUUCGAAUCCCGCCGAAGGCA
RNAcentral lists this transfer RNA (95 nucleotides) under Bifidobacterium adolescentis. RNAcentral describes it as "tRNA-OTHER". Lineage: Bacteria; Bacillati; Actinomycetota; Actinomycetes; Bifidobacteriales; Bifidobacteriaceae. The record is from RNAcentral.